This is a long non-coding RNA of Daktulosphaira vitifoliae (grape phylloxera), 921 nucleotides long. RefSeq lists it as uncharacterized. NCBI's taxonomy places the organism in Eukaryota, Metazoa, Arthropoda, Insecta, Hemiptera, Phylloxeridae. The record is from RefSeq and is a predicted model, not a curated record. The transcript has 2 exons.
UUUAAAAAUUUUUUCGAUUUUAUUGUAUUAUUAAAGAACAAUAAACAAAUAAUUCAAAAUCAGGAAAUGUUUUUCGAAUAAUGAUUUUAUUGUAUAAAUUCCAGAAUAAAUUUUUCCAAUGUCAUCUGUUUAUUUAAUAAAUUCUUGUUACAUUCAUUUACUUAAAAUUAUUAUUGUUUUUUUUUUUUAAUAAGUCUAGCCACGUCUUAAAAAAAGAGCAGGUGCUAAACUAAUUAUAUUAAUCAACGACAUUGUUAUCUACUUAAAAUAGACGACGGCCUAUAUAAUGUUGCCUAUUACCAACGGCGCGCGUGCGAGUUAACAACAAUAAUAGUACUAUUAGCACAAAAUAGAUAAGAUGUAUUCUGUGUUAGUAGUACCCAUAGAGUAAUACUCUAUAGUAGUAUCACAAAUAAGAUAAAUCAGUUUUAUCUUAUCUGUGGUAGUAUAAGGUCUCUUUAUUAAUUAAGUCAUUAUUAAAAUUUUUUCGAACAAUUUGUGAAAUUUAACUAAUAAAAUCGUUGAAUGUUAUAUAGUUAGUUGUAAAAACGACUAAUAAACUAAGAAAUAUUAUCUCAAUUUACUGCUCUACGAAGUCCUGAACUCUGAAAAAUUACCACUUUUAAUGACCGAAGUUGUGUAUGUGAAAAACAUUUCACAAGUAAUUGAAUCAUUCGAUACUGGGAAUAUGAUGACGAACCAGUAUGCUUGUUUAAGUACCAUGUAAGAUAUCUAGGCUGAAAGAAAACACAGUUCCUUCAAUUUUCCCUGGACCAGCAUAUCUUUCCAAAGCUAAAAAAAAAAGAAGAAAUCCUCCAACUGACAUUUACUUUGUCCAACUGCUAAAAAGUUUAAAAAUGAUCAUUCUAAAAUUUGUGAUUUUAUAAACAUUCCCAACAUUUUAACUUCACGUGAAGUUAA